UCCUGGAAGCGCUACUGGAUUGUCCUGUCUGGCUCCAUUCUCAUCUAUUUUGGUUCUAAAGCUCUAAGAGCAAAUGAGCGAAGACAUUAUAAAUCCAGGCCAUGUAAAAAGAUCACACUCACAGGUUGGAUGGUGGUUCUGCCAGAAAACCCUGAACAUCCAAAUAUUUUCCAGCUUACUGAUCCUGAAAGAGGUAAUGUUUACAAGUUCCAGACUGGAUCACGUUUCUCUGCGAUUAUCUGGCACAGACAUUUAGCCGAGGCGUGCAGGAGUACAAGACCACAGAUACCAGCAAACCUCAUGUCCUUUGAAUAGCUGUUUUUUGGGAAGUGGAAUACAGAUGAAGAGAAUAAACCUCAUGGAGAAAGACAUUGCAGAAGAGUUUAUGCGAGGGGGCAGCAUGUUGGACCUAACAUAGUUGGAAAUGUGGCAGCUGUAUCUGUUGAAAAAGUCCAAAAUUCUUUCAGACAUUGCUGACACAGCUGUACUGAGAGAGGAUGGUCUUGUGUCUUCAGUUUAGUGGUAACACUUUACAAUAAGGUUCAAUUUGUUAACAUGAGAUAAAGGAAUAGUUCACUC
This is a long non-coding RNA of Sinocyclocheilus grahami, 579 nucleotides long. RefSeq lists it as uncharacterized. The record is from RefSeq and is a predicted model, not a curated record. The transcript is spliced from 4 exons. Lineage: Eukaryota; Metazoa; Chordata; Actinopteri; Cypriniformes; Cyprinidae.